UGAACGCUAGCGGCAGGCUUAAUACAUGCAAGUCGUGGGGCAGCAGGGGUAGCAAUACCCGCUGGCGACCGGCAAACGGGUGCGGAACACGUACGCAACCUUCCUUUAACUGGAGAAUAGCCCCUCGAAAGAGGGAUUAAUACUCCGUAACAUAUACAUGUGGCAUCACAAGUAUAUUAUAGCUCCGGCGGUUAAAGAUGGGCGUGCGCCUGAUUAGAUAGUUGGCGGGGUAACGGCCCACCAAGUCUGCGAUCAGUAACUGGUGUGAGAGCACGACCAGUCACACGGGCACUGAGACACGGGCCCGACUCCUACGGGAGGCAGCAGUAAGGAAUAUUGGUCAAUGGACGCAAGUCUGAACCAGCCAUGCCGCGUGGAGGAUUAAGGCCCUCUGGGUUGUAAACUCCUUUUAUCUGGGAAGAAAUGCCAUUUUUCUAAAUGGUUUGACGGUACCAGAGGAAUAAGCACCGGCUAACUCCGUGCCAGCAGCCGCGGUAAUACGGAGGGUGCAAGCGUUAUCCGGAUUCACUGGGUUUAAAGGGUGCGUAGGCGGGCAGGUAAGUCCGUGGUGAAAUCUCUGAGCUUAACUCAGAAACUGCCAUGGAUACUAUUUGUCUUGAAUAUUGUGGAGGUAAGCGGAAUAUGUCAUGUAGCGGUGAAAUGCUUAGAUAUGACAUAGAACACCAAUUGCGAAGGCAGCUUACUACACAGUUAUUGACGCUGAG
RNAcentral lists this ribosomal RNA (725 nucleotides) under uncultured soil bacterium. RNAcentral describes it as "bacterial SSU rRNA". It matches the Rfam family "Bacterial small subunit ribosomal RNA", at positions 30 to 750 of the family's 1533-position model. The record is from RNAcentral.